RNAcentral lists this microRNA precursor (76 nucleotides) under Myotis brandtii (Brandt's bat). RNAcentral describes it as "mir-9193 microRNA precursor family". It matches the Rfam family "mir-9193 microRNA precursor family". Lineage: Eukaryota; Metazoa; Chordata; Mammalia; Chiroptera; Vespertilionidae. The record is from Rfam by way of RNAcentral.
CACGGGGGGGAGGGAUCCCCCUCAGCCUGGAUUGUGAGAGGGCACAGGCCCGGCUAAGGGACCCCACUGGUGCACA